RNAcentral lists this ribosomal RNA (539 nucleotides) under Nocardia sp. GR-8275. RNAcentral describes it as "bacterial SSU rRNA". It matches the Rfam family "Bacterial small subunit ribosomal RNA", at positions 54 to 610 of the family's 1533-position model. The record is from RNAcentral. Lineage: Bacteria; Bacillati; Actinomycetota; Actinomycetes; Mycobacteriales; Nocardiaceae.
CAUGCAAGUCGAGCGGUAAGGCCCUUCGGGGUACACGAGCGGCGAACGGGUGAGUAACACGUGGGUGAUCUGCCUUGCACUCUGGGAUAAGCCUGGGAAACUGGGUCUAAUACCGGAUAUGACCUUCGAUCGCAUGAUCGUGGGUGGAAAGAUUUAUCGGUGCAAGAUGAGCCCGCGGCCUAUCAGCUUGUUGGUGGGGUAAUGGCCUACCAAGGCGACGACGGGUAGCCGGCCUGAGAGGGCGACCGGCCACACUGGGACUGAGACACGGCCCAGACUCCUACGGGAGGCAGCAGUGGGGAAUAUUGCACAAUGGGCGGAAGCCUGAUGCAGCGACGCCGCGUGAGGGAUGACGGCCUUCGGGUUGUAAACCUCUUUCGACUCCGACGAAGCGAAAGUGACGGUAGGAGUAUAAGAAGCACCGGCCAACUACGUGCCAGCAGCCGCGGUAAUACGUAGGGUGCGAGCGUUGUCCGGAAUUACUGGGCGUAAAGAGCUUGUAGGCGGCUUGUCGCGUCGAUCGUGAAAACUCGGGGCUC